GACGAACGCUGGCGGCGUGCUUAACACAUGCAAGUCGAACGGAAAGGCCCUGCUUUUGUGGGGUGCUCGAGUGGCGAACGGGUGAGUAACACGUGAGUAACCUGCCCUUGACUUUGGGAUAACUUCAGGAAACUGGGGCUAAUACCGGAUAGGAGCUCCUGCUGCAUGGUGGGGGUUGGAAAGUUUCGGCGGUUGGGGAUGGACUCGCGGCUUAUCAGCUUGUUGGUGGGGUAGUGGCUUACCAAGGCGUUGACGGGUAGCCGGCCUGAGAGGGUGACCGGGCACAAUGGGACUGAGAUACGGCCCAGACUCCUACGGGAGGCAGCAGUGGGGAAUAUUGCACAAUGGGCGGAAGCCUGAUGCAGCAACGCCGCGUGCGGGAUGACGGCCUUCGUGUUGUAAACCGCUUUCGCCUGUGACGAAGCGUGAGUGACGGUAAUGGGUAAAGAAGCACCGGCUAACUACGUG
RNAcentral lists this ribosomal RNA (468 nucleotides) under uncultured bacterium. RNAcentral describes it as "partial 16S ribosomal RNA". It matches the Rfam family "Bacterial small subunit ribosomal RNA", at positions 28 to 507 of the family's 1533-position model. The record is from RNAcentral.